AACAAUUAGAGGCUACAUGAAGACACCCAAGUGGCACCAAUUGUGCACAUUAUCCUUAAAAAUUAGGGUGGGGGACCUACUAAAUUUAAAGGGAACCUGAAGAGAGACCAAUCACAACGCUGCACUGCAUUCACAAAUCCAUCCCUGGUUGGCAAGCAAAUCCAACUAUUUCAGGUAAUAUCAGGUAAAAGAUCAAGGUAAGGUCUUGAAAGAGAUAUAAUACAUAUACAUGCCAGGUUGCUGCACCCCAGAGCCAUCAGCAUUUGAGGUAUUUACAAAUUAUGUGCGGAUGAACCAGCCAAAACACCUCAAAUCGAUACCAUCACCAAUGACAGCUACCACAAGGUUGAUGUAAAAAACUUUGGUACACAGCUGGUACCAAAG
This 384-nucleotide long non-coding RNA is filed under the name Phaseolus vulgaris (common bean). RNAcentral's name for it is "long non-coding RNA (PVUL_LNC002422)". The record is from RNAcentral. Lineage: Eukaryota; Viridiplantae; Streptophyta; Magnoliopsida; Fabales; Fabaceae.